Molecule: ribosomal RNA, 471 nt
Filed under: uncultured bacterium
Lineage: Bacteria
Description: partial 16S ribosomal RNA
Rfam family: Bacterial small subunit ribosomal RNA
Source: RNAcentral
GACGAACGCUGGCGGCGUGCUUAACACAUGCAAGUCGAACGCUGAAGCUUGGUGCUUGCACUGGGUGGAUGAGUGGCGAACGGGUGAGUAAUACGUGAGUAACCUGCCCUUGACUCUGGGAUAAGCCUGGGAAACUGGGUCUAAUACUGGAUACGACAUGUCACCGCAUGGUGGUGUGUGGAAAGGGUUUUACUGGUUUUGGAUGGGCUCACGGCCUAUCAGCUUGUUGGUGGGGUAAUGGCUCACCAAGGCGACGACGGGUAGCCGGCCUGAGAGGGUGACCGGCCACACUGGGACUGAGACACGGCCCAGACUCCUACGGGAGGCAGCAGUGGGGAAUAUUGCACAAUGGGCGAAAGCCUGAUGCAGCGACGCCGCGUGAGGGAUGACGGCCUUCGGGUUGUAAACCUCUUUCAGCACGGAAGAAGCGAAAGUGACGGUACGUGCAGAAGAAGCGCCGGCUAACUACGU